CGAUUACCAAGUGCCAGCGAUUGAUGGCAUAAAUGAAACAAAGGGUUCGCCGGAGGUGGUUUGGUCUGUCUCUGCGCACAUCAGGGCUCUAAAAUCUUGGGAUGUUCAUUGCCUGUGUCGUGUGUCCGAAGAGAAUGUUCCCAUGUAGAAUGUGUAGUGAUGUAAGCUCUGUCUCAAACUGUUUUAUUUGUUUAUUUGUUUUGUUUUCUUUUUUUGAUGGCGUUGUUUGUUUUGUUCCAUCUGUUUGUGUAACCCAAACUCGCAUCAUUUAUAAGAAAUCCUUAAGAAAUAUUUUGAUUGUUA
Molecule: non-coding RNA, 303 nt
Organism: Camelina sativa (false flax)
Lineage: Eukaryota; Viridiplantae; Streptophyta; Magnoliopsida; Brassicales; Brassicaceae
Source: RefSeq, a predicted model, not a curated record